GAUGAACGCUGGCGGCGUGCCUAAUACAUGCAAGUCGAGCGAACAGACGAGGAGCUUGCUCCUUUGACGUUAGCGGCGGACGGGUGAGUAACACGUGGGUAACCUACCUAUAAGACUGGGAUAACUUCGGGAAACCGGAGCUAAUACCGGAUAAUAUUUCGAACCGCAUGGUUCGAUAGUGAAAGAUGGCUUUGCUAUCACUUAUAGAUGGACCGGCGCCGUAUUAGCUAGUUGGUAAGGUAACGGCUUACCAAGGCAACGAUACGUAGCCGACCUGAGAGGGUGAUCGGCCACACUGGAACUGAGACACGGUCCAGACUCCUACGGGAGGCAGCAGUAGGGAAUCUUCCGCAAUGGGCGAAAGCCUGACGGAGCAACGCCGCGUGAGUGAUGAAGGUCUUCGGAUCGUAAAACUCUGUUAUUAGGGAAGAACAAACGUGUAAGUAACUGUGCACGUCUUGACGGUACCUAAUCAGAAAGCCACGGCUAACUACGUG
RNAcentral lists this ribosomal RNA (497 nucleotides) under uncultured bacterium. RNAcentral's name for it is "partial 16S ribosomal RNA". It matches the Rfam family "Bacterial small subunit ribosomal RNA", at positions 28 to 507 of the family's 1533-position model. The record is from RNAcentral.